UGAAAACAGGAUUGACAAUUAUCACAUAGCACGUAUAUUAUUAUUUUUUUUUGUUUAGGUUUUAGUUCAUUAUUUUAACACUAUUACUCUUUGAUGUUUUAAUUACUACAUGCUUAGCAUUCUAUUUGUUGUUUGACCCCUCACCAAACUGAUUUCUGUUAUAGGAAGGCUUGCCGCGCUCUUUUAAGGAAGUUGCUGUAUAACCCUUACGGGUUUGGCGCUUAAUUUGCCAAUAGUAAUAAUAAUACUUUUAAAGGAUUUAUUUUUCUGCUGCAUGUUAGUUUAUGCUAAGUAGAAGUUUGAGCCGUAGCAGAACACAGGUUGAAGACAGUCAGGAUAACAUAGCCAGCAGGGAAGCACUUACCAUGGCGUAGUGUAACAAACCAGGUAAACCGAGCCAGGUAAACCUGUUCUAACAGAUCUUCCUGACACUUUCUCUCCCCCUCCCUGGCAGACUGGAGUGCGGCAGGACGUGAAGAAGAGGAUUGAGGACAUUCGUCUGCUGGAGUCGAGAAAGUCUGCCCGCCUCGCGGACCAGGACACAGACUUCGCCAAGUUGGCAGACAUGUCCACCGACCGCAAGGACCGCAAACCCUCGCAAACCAUCGACGUGCCCGCUCCCUCAGGUGUCCAAGGGUCCCGCAAGCGGCGCAGUUCUCACUCGGAGGAGGACCAAAUGGACGAGUGUGCAGCGGCCAUGGUUCUCAUGAAGCUCUCGUGCUCACCACGAUCCCCGCUCAUGCCUGACGGUAAUUUUUAAUUCAACGUGGUGGUGGUGGCUCCGGGAACCAGUUCAAGGUAGAUGCUUACUGGUAUUGACGUGGUAUGUCUUCUCUACUACUCCACCCAUUUAUCUCCAUGACAGUCUCCCCUUUCCGGGCCCCUCUCCUCUUUCUUUGUUUUCUUCUCCUCUUGCUUUCUCUGUCUUCUAUUUCUAGCUUCGCAAUCUUUAUCUUCCCCCUCCUCAUCCUCUCUUUGCCCACAUCUCUCACCUAACUUUCGCUACUACAAGCAACUUAGAGGAUGAAAGAUAUAGAUAUACCGACAAUCAAUUACGCAAAUGGGCACACAUGCCACAUUAAGGAUACUUUAUUGCAGGCCACAUUCUGCUCACCAGGAACUUUGUCAAAGCUUGACCAUUCUCCUGGUGAGCGAAAUAUUGCACUUAUAUCUACGUACCUAAAGAACUUAGCCGUGCAGACAGUAUGUUUUAUUUCGGAAGGUUUACAAAUGCUUUUACAAACAGUAGAAUGUUUACCUAGUCACUUUCAGAGGUCACCGCCCCCGCGGCCUGGUUUCAGACUAGGCCUCCUAGUUGCUGGCGUAACCGAUCCAGCUGUCAGUAGCCGCAGUCCAACGUGUACACCACAACCCGGUUGAUCAGGAGCUCUUUUUCAAGAAUUUGUCGAGUUGCCUCUUGAAGACAGCUAGGAGUUUGUUGGUGAUUUCCCUUAUGCUGUGAAGGCAAAUCUUAAUAACCUAAGUUUAUUUAGGUACAGGCACACAUAGAGUUAUACAAAUUAUCAUACAAAGUAGAGUAGAAUAUAUGCAGUUGACUUCGGGUAAACCAGUAACUAUUUCUAAAUCUAAAGAGCAGUGUGAGUUGCGGGUUUUGGCACUGUAUGUGAUGGUUAGAGAGGUAAGGGAGAGGAGAGACAGGUUUGUGGGGAAAGGGACGGUCUGGGAGUGGCAGUAUACUGGUGAGGGAGAGGUAAGCAAGGCGAGAAGGGGAGAGGUUUGUUGUUCUUGUGGUAUGUCCUGCUCUCCCUGCUCCCCACAUGAGCCUGCAAGCCUGGUUGUGGGGUGAACGACCGUCCUUGCCUCCCUUCCCUCCCCACCCUCCAGGCGCACUCACCCACCUACUCUCCCCCCCCUCUCUCUCUCAU
This is a non-coding RNA of Cherax quadricarinatus, 1886 nucleotides long. The record is from RefSeq and is a predicted model, not a curated record. NCBI's taxonomy places the organism in Eukaryota, Metazoa, Arthropoda, Malacostraca, Decapoda, Parastacidae.